Homalodisca vitripennis (glassy-winged sharpshooter) is the source of this 793-nucleotide long non-coding RNA. RefSeq lists it as uncharacterized. The record is from RefSeq and is a predicted model, not a curated record. The transcript is spliced from 2 exons. NCBI's taxonomy places the organism in Eukaryota, Metazoa, Arthropoda, Insecta, Hemiptera, Cicadellidae.
ACAAACAUCAAUGAUCUAAUCACAGCCUCUAAUAUGAACGUUUUAAUAGAGGUAUUAUAUAAAAAUACUGAUCAGAUGUUAUCUUCAUUAUUUAACAUUUUAAAAUUAACUCACAUGAAUAGAAUGCGGCCAAUCUCUCUUUAAGUUGUCAAAUACUUGUGGGAUAUCUGAAAAAUCCAUCUUUUUUAAUGUGAUAUCUCCAGUCAAUGGGUGGGACAUCAGCAACACAUUUUUCAAAGCAUACUUACCCUACAAGAAAAGGCCAUAAGGGUUCUGGCUGGACUCAGAUGAAUGGAGCUGUAGAGAGCCGUUCUAGAACAUGAGGAUUCUAACAGUUGUAGCAAUUUACGUCCAGUAUUGCGUGUUAGUAUUUAGUAUUGCAUUUGAAUGGCUUAGAAGUAGAGAUAUACAUUAACAUCAUACAAGACCUGAUGGCCUAUACAACCUUCCAAAUCACCAUCUUCAACUGUAUGAAAGAAAACCAUCAUACAACAGACGGAAAAUCUACAACCACCUUCCACCAGAGCUUCGAUCAAAGACUCCCUGUGAAAUCACUGAAGUCAGCACUGCAAGAAUGGCUACAGACCCAACCUUUUUUACUCACUGGAAAAAUACCUACAAAGAGAUUGUUACUUUCUUUUUUCUAUACUUAUAAUCUACCUUUCCAAAAUAUAAACAAUAAUUAAUUUUAAAUGUAAUUAUUUUCGACACCAUUUUGUAAUCAUAUAAUAUAACCUUUGAUAUGAAAUUUUUAUUGUAUGAUUAUUAAUAAAGAUGGUUACAUAUCUGCUUA